RNAcentral lists this ribosomal RNA (253 nucleotides) under uncultured bacterium. RNAcentral's name for it is "partial 16S ribosomal RNA". It matches the Rfam family "Bacterial small subunit ribosomal RNA", at positions 524 to 776 of the family's 1533-position model. The record is from RNAcentral.
UACGUAGGGUCCGAGCGUUAAUCGGAAUUACUGGGCGUAAAGUGUGCGCAGGCGGCAGAGCAAGUCGAGUGUGAAAGCCCCGGGCUUAACUUGGGAAUUGCGCUCGAAACUACUUUGCUGGAGUGUGGCAGAGGAAGGUGGAAUUCCACGUGUAGCGGUGAAAUGCGUAGAGAUGUGGAGGAACACCAAUGGCGAAGGCAGCCUUCUGGGCCAACACUGACGCUCAUGCACGAAAGCGUGGGGAGCAAACAGG